GGGUGAGUAAUGUCUGGGAAACUGCCUGAUGGAGGGGGAUAACUACUGGAAACGGUAGCUAAUACCGCAUAACGUCGCAAGACCAAAGAGGGGGACCUUCGGGCCUCUUGCCAUCGGAUGUGCCCAGAUGGGAUUAGCUAGUAGGUGGGGUAACGGCUCACCUAGGCGACGAUCCCUAGCUGGUCUGAGAGGAUGACCAGCCACACUGGAACUGAGACACGGUCCAGACUCCUACGGGAGGCAGCAGUGGGGAAUAUUGCACAAUGGGCGCAAGCCUGAUGCAGCCAUGCCGCGUGUAUGAAGAAGGCCUUAGGGUUGUAAAGUACUUUCAGCGGGGAGGAAGGUGAUAAG
This 351-nucleotide ribosomal RNA is filed under the name Escherichia coli. RNAcentral describes it as "bacterial SSU rRNA". It matches the Rfam family "Bacterial small subunit ribosomal RNA", at positions 104 to 458 of the family's 1533-position model. The record is from RNAcentral. Lineage: Bacteria; Pseudomonadati; Pseudomonadota; Gammaproteobacteria; Enterobacterales; Enterobacteriaceae.